Molecule: ribosomal RNA, 254 nt
Filed under: uncultured bacterium
Lineage: Bacteria
Description: partial 16S ribosomal RNA
Rfam family: Bacterial small subunit ribosomal RNA
Source: RNAcentral
UACGUAGGGUGCGAGCGUUGUCCGGAAUUAUUGGGCGUAAAGAGCUCGUAGGCGGUGUGUCACGUCGGCCGUGAAAACCUGCAGCUUAACUGUGGGCGUGCGGUCGAUACGGGCAUCACUGGAGUUCGGCAGGGGAGACUGGAAUUCCUGGUGUAGCGGUGAAAUGCGCAGAUAUCAGGAGGAACACCGGUGGCGAAGGCGGGUCUCUGGGUAGUAACUGACGCUGAGGAACGAAAGCGUGGGUAGCGAACAGG